This 911-nucleotide ribosomal RNA is filed under the name uncultured bacterium. Its description in RNAcentral is "bacterial SSU rRNA". It matches the Rfam family "Bacterial small subunit ribosomal RNA", at positions 8 to 879 of the family's 1533-position model. The record is from RNAcentral.
AGAGUUUGAUCCUGGCUCAGGACGAACGCUGGCGGCGUGCCUAAUACAUGCAAGUCGAACGCACUCUCGUUAGAUUGAAGAAGCUUGCUUCUGAUUGAUAACAUUUGAGUGAGUGGCGGACGGGUGAGUAACACGUGGGUAACCUGCCCUAAAGUGGGGGAUAACAUUUGGAAACAGAUGCUAAUACCGCAUAAAACCUAGCACCGCAUGGUGCAAGGUUGAAAGAUGGUUUCGGCUAUCACUUUAGGAUGGACCCGCGGUGCAUUAGUUAGUCGGUGAGGUAAAGGCUCACCAAGACCGUGAUGCAUAGCCGACCUGAGAGGGUAAUCGGCCACACUGGGACUGAGACACGGCCCAGACUCCUACGGGAGGCAGCAGUAGGGAAUCUUCCACAAUGGACGAAAGUCUGAUGGAGCAACGCCGCGUGAGUGAAGAAGGUUUUCGGAUCGUAAAACUCUGUUGUUGGAGAAGAACGUAUUUGAUAGUAACUGAUCAGGUAGUGACGGUAUCCAACCAGAAAGCCACGGCUAACUACGUGCCAGCAGCCGCGGUAAUACGUAGGUGGCAAGCGUUGUCCGGAUUUAUUGGGCGUAAAGCGAGCGCAGGCGGUUUCUUAAGUCUGAUGUGAAAGCCUUCGGCUCAACCGAAGAAGUGCAUCGGAAACUAGGGAACUUGAGUGCAGAAGAGGACAGUGGAACUCCAUGUGUAGCGGUGAAAUGCGUAGAUAUAUGGAAGAACACCAGUGGCGAAGGCGGCUGUCUGGUCUGUAACUGACGCUGAGGCUCGAAAGCAUGGGUAGCAGACAGGAUUAGAUACCCUGGUAGUCCAUGCCGUAAACGAUGAGUGCUAGGUGUUGGAGGGUUUCCGCCCUUCAGUGCCGCAGCUAACGCAUUAAGCACUCCGCCUGGGGA